RNAcentral lists this ribosomal RNA (938 nucleotides) under uncultured organism. Its description in RNAcentral is "bacterial SSU rRNA". It matches the Rfam family "Bacterial small subunit ribosomal RNA", at positions 173 to 1154 of the family's 1533-position model. The record is from RNAcentral.
AUAGUCUCUUCGGAGUAAAGAUUUUUCGCUUCAAGAGGAGCCUGCAUCCUAUCAGCUUGUUGGUGAGGUAAAAGCUCACCAAGGCUAUGACGGGUAGGGGGCGUGAGAGCGUGACCCCCAACAUUGGCACUGAGACACUGGCCAAACACCUACGGGUGGCUGCAGUCCAGAACCUUCCACAAUGGGCGAAAGCCUGAUGGAGCGACGCCGCGUGCGGGAUGACAGCCUUAGGGUUGUAAACCGCUUUUAUAAGUGAAGAACUUUAAUGACAUUAACUUAUGAAUAAGAGGUUGCUAACUACGUGCCAGCAGCAGCGGUAAUACGUAGACCUCAAGCGUUAUCCGGAUUUAUUGGGCGUAAAGGGUGUGUAGGCGGUUUAAAUAGUCAAAUGUUAAAUCACGAGGCUCAACUUCGUGACUGCAUUUGAAACGUUUAAACUAGAAAUAGGCAGAGGUUAGCGGAACUCAUGGUGUAGCAGUGAAAUGCAUUGAUAUCAUGGGGAACACCAAAGGCGAAGGCAGCUAACUGGGCCUUAUUUUGACGCUGAGACACGAAAGCGUGGGUGGCGAACGGGAUUAGAUACCCCGGUAGUCCACGCCCUAAACGAUGUGCACUAAUCAUUGGGAGUUUCGACCCUCUCAGUGUUGUAGCUAACGCGUUAAGUGCACCGCCUGGGAAGUACGAGCGCAAGCUUAAAACUCAAAGGAAUAGACGGGGAUCCGCACAAGCGGUGGAGCAUGUGGUUUAAUUCGACAAUAAGCGAGGAACCUCACCAGGGCUAGAUAUCCUGCUGCAUGUCCUGAGAAACCAGGACAGCCUUCGAGGGUGCAGGACAGGUGUUGCAUGGUCGUCGUCAGCUCGUGCUGUAAAGUGUUCCAUUAAGUUGGGUAACGAGCGCAACCCCUACUGUGUGUUACAAGUGUCACACGGAACUGCCC